GAUGAACGCUGGCGGCGUGCCUAAUACAUGCAAGUCGAGCGAACAGACGAGGAGCUUGCUCCUCUGACGUUAGCGGCGGACGGGUGAGUAACACGUGGAUAACCUACCUAUAAGACUGGGAUAACUUCGGGAAACCGGAGCUAAUACCGGAUAAUAUAUUGAACCGCAUGGUUCAAUAGUGAAAGACGGUUUUGCUGUCACUUAUAGAUGGAUCCGCGCCGCAUUAGCUAGUUGGUAAGGUAACGGCUUACCAAGGCGACGAUGCGUAGCCGACCUGGGAGGGUGAUCGGCCACACUGGAACUGAGACACGGUCCAGACUCCUACGGGAGGCAGCAGUAGGGAAUCUUCCGCAAUGGGCGAAAGCUUGACGGAGCAACGCCGCGUGAGUGAUGAAGGUCUUCGGAUCGUAAAACUCUGUUAUUAGGGAAGAACAAAUGUGUAAGUAACUAUGCACGUCUUGACGGUACCUAAUCAGAAAGCCACGGCUAACUACGUG
This 497-nucleotide ribosomal RNA is filed under the name uncultured bacterium. Its description in RNAcentral is "partial 16S ribosomal RNA". It matches the Rfam family "Bacterial small subunit ribosomal RNA", at positions 28 to 507 of the family's 1533-position model. The record is from RNAcentral.